This 17-nucleotide ribosomal RNA is filed under the name Mycoplasma leachii PG50. RNAcentral's name for it is "partial ribosomal RNA". The record is from RNAcentral. Lineage: Bacteria; Bacillati; Mycoplasmatota; Mollicutes; Mycoplasmatales; Mycoplasmataceae.
AAAAUGAGAGUUUGAUC